Molecule: ribosomal RNA, 410 nt
Filed under: Verrucomicrobiota bacterium
Lineage: Bacteria; Pseudomonadati; Verrucomicrobiota
Description: Verrucomicrobia bacterium partial 16S ribosomal RNA
Rfam family: Bacterial small subunit ribosomal RNA
Source: RNAcentral
UGGGGAAUCUUGCACAAUGGGCGAAAGCCUGAUGCAGCGACGCCGCGUGCGGGAUGAAGGCCUUCGGGUUGUAAACCGCUUUCAGCAGGGACGAGGCCGCAAGGUGACGGUACCUGCAGAAGAAGCCCCGGCUAACUACGUGCCAGCAGCCGCGGUAAUACGUAGGGGGCAAGCGUUAUCCGGAUUCAUUGGGCGUAAUGCGCGCGUAGGCGGUUUGUUAGGUCAGGAGUUAAAUCUGGGGGCUCAACCCCUAUCCGCUCCUGAUACCGGCAGGCUUGAGUCUGGUAGGGGAAGGCGGAAUUCCAAGUGUAGCGGUGAAAUGCGCAGAUAUUUGGAAGAACACCGGUGGCGAAGGCGGCCUUCUGGGCCACGACUGACGCUGAGGCGCGAAAGCUAGGGGAGCGAACAGG